UUCGAGUGGCGGACGGGUGAGUAACGCGUGGGUAACCUGCCUUACACAGGGGGAUAACACCUGGAAACAGGUGCUAAUACCGCAUAAGCGCACAGGGCCGCAUGGCCCGGUGUGAAAAACUCCGGUGGUGUAAGAUGGACCCGCGUCUGAUUAGCUUGUUGGCGGGGUAGGGGCCCACCAAGGCGACGAUCAGUAGCCGGCCUGAGAGGGUGGACCGGCCACAUUGGGACUGAGACACGGCCCAAACUCCUACGGGAGGCAGCAG
This 265-nucleotide ribosomal RNA is filed under the name uncultured bacterium. RNAcentral's name for it is "partial 16S ribosomal RNA". It matches the Rfam family "Bacterial small subunit ribosomal RNA", at positions 90 to 354 of the family's 1533-position model. The record is from RNAcentral.